Molecule: long non-coding RNA, 1595 nt
Filed under: Homo sapiens (human)
Lineage: Eukaryota; Metazoa; Chordata; Mammalia; Primates; Hominidae
Description: HSALNT0337284
Source: RNAcentral
GGAGCAGGGGCCAGCGACCCACGUCUACAUGCAUACUUCUCUUACACUGCUGCUACUGGAAAAGCUGAACCCCGCGCCAGGACCCCAGCCCCCUGCAAGGACCCGUGAGCGUCUGGGAAGCUGUCUCUGGGACUGAAGCCCCCCACCUCCGCCGGGCUGGCGGCCACUGCGGUACCCUACGCCCCGUCGGGCUGGUCCUGCACAAUUUGGGAAAAAGCCGCAGCGCUUCUGCAAGGUCUACGUGGCCAUGAGCAUGCAACGCUUGGCUCCAAAAAAGACACGAAAGGAGCAAAGCGCCAACGACCACCCGAUCGGAGGGCCCGAGGGGCGCCUCUUCACCAGUCAGCUGCAGCUUAAGUUCCGUGCAUUAUCUGAAAGGAACAGCUGGCUGGAGGUAUCCAGGGCUGUCACUCCAACCUCUGCAGCAGUGACCUCAACUCCCAGCACUUCAAAACCCAGACAGAAACGUCCAACAAACUCCCAGUCCAGGAGCGCUGCAAAACCAACGCCAGUCUAGUUUGGGGUCUCUAUAAUCCUGCUCCUUUGGCUGCCAGCCAUCUCCAUAAAAAAAGAAUUUGAAAGGCUUCCAUUCUUUCAGAGACCUGUUUCCCGGGACUGGCUGCAAGGGAGAGAUGCACUGACCUUCUGCCAGGUAUAGAACUAUUGAAUGGUACAGUUUGAGAUCUUCGAAACCAUCAGGACUGAUCAUUUUCUGGCUACUUUCUACAUAGGAAUCCUAGAGUUCCUUGGAGAGGAUAUGAAGGUUAUUCUCAGGCCAUGCAGAUGGGCAAGAAAGGAUGUGCGUCCAUGGUUCCUCUUCAAAUCCAACCAAAACAGCCUUGCUUCCGUUGGCUUUAUAUAAUACUGCAACUCUUGAUAAUCUGAUUUAACACAAAUUUCCUCAUUGAGUUUCUCCUCAUGAAGAAACGGCCUCAGUGAGGUAAAUCGGAAUGCACAGGAGCACAUAGCAGGCUGGAGUGUAGUGGUAUGAUCACAGCUCACUGCAGCCUCGAACUCCUGGACUCAAACAAUCCUCCUGUCUCAGCCUCCAGAGCAACUGGGAGUACAGGUGUGUGCCACCAUGCCUGACUAAGUUUUUAAAUUUUUUGUAGAGAUGGGGUCUUGCUAUAUUGACCAGGCUGGUCUUGAACUUCUGGCCUCAAGAAAUCCUCCCACCUGGGCCUCCCAGAGUGCUGGGAUUACAGGAAUGCACCACUGUGCCCAGCCCUAAAUAACUAUUUUUAUUUCCCUUUCUGUAACCGCUCAUCUUUUGUGCAUUUUUCCUUGGGUAUUGGCCUUCUUAUCAAAGUUUAAGAACUGUUUAUAUAUAGGGAUUAACCCUUAGUCUGUUGUAUGAAUUGCAAAUAUACAUGUAUUUUUAUUUGUAUAUGCAAAGUUUGUCUUUUAUCUUUGUAUAUGGGAUAGUUUUCCAAACACAGUUUUAUUUUAUUUUAUUUUUCAUCUUGCAUGUCUUUCCAAAGUACCAAGCAGAGUUUUUUUAAAAGUUGUUUUAUGGCUUCUGGGUUUUUUAAGUCAUAUUUAGAAAGAUCUUUCCCACUCUGAAAUUAAAAAAAUAAAUAAAUAAAAUCUCCCAA